Molecule: ribosomal RNA, 441 nt
Filed under: Klebsiella pneumoniae
Lineage: Bacteria; Pseudomonadati; Pseudomonadota; Gammaproteobacteria; Enterobacterales; Enterobacteriaceae
Description: bacterial SSU rRNA
Rfam family: Bacterial small subunit ribosomal RNA
Source: RNAcentral
GAGUUCCAUGCGGCGCAAGCCUGAUGCAGCCAUGCCGCGUGUGUGAAGAAGGCCUUCGGGUUGUAAAGCACUUUCAGCGAGGAGGAAGGCGAUGAGGUUAAUACCCUUGUCGAUUGACGUUACCCGCAGAAGAAGCACCGGCUAACUCCGUGCCAGCAGCCGCGGUAAUACGGAGGGUGCAAGCGUUAAUCGGAAUUACUGGGCGUAAAGCGCACGCAGGCGGUCUGUUAAGUCGGAUGUGAAAUCCCCGGGCUCAACCUGGGAACUGCAUUCGAAACUGGCAGGCUAGAGUCUUGUAGAGGGGGGUAGAAUUCCAGGUGUAGCGGUGAAAUGCGUAGAGAUCUGGAGGAAUACCGGUGGCGAAGGCGGCCCCCUGGACAAAGACUGACGCUCAGGUGCGAAAGCGUGGGGAGCAAACAGGAUUAGAUACCCAAGUAGUCC